CGGUGGCUGAACUUAGUGGAGCUGAGGAGCUGAACUGGAGGGUCUCUCUGAACACUAGAGUUUUGCUUGGGACAAUCUUGUGCUUCCAGACAGAAAGAUACAAACUAGGCUGGCCCUACUUGAGGUUCCUGAAGGGAAAUACUGAGAAGAUACCAGAAGAGCUGGCAGUGUCCAUAAGGUUCCUAUCCACAGAUCCUUGGUAUACUAGAGAUUUCAGGUUUUCGAUAGCUGUAGCUGGAUCACCUGCAGGAGCAGUUGCCAGAAUGCAAUUCCAGACCUGUUCCUUUCCUGGAUAACUAUGACAGAGGACACUGGGUUAUUGCUAUUUUUAAGGCUUUUGUGGUCAGUAUUCUGGGUGGACUUUAUCAAAAUCAUAUGGGAGAUGUUGGUCAAGUUGGUGGCAAUGUUCUGACUGGCUUGAUUCAUGUUUAUUUUCCUAAGAGACUUCUAGGAAAUAAUAUAACAUUUUUUUCCAGAAAAGCUUCCAUUUUUGAUGUUUUUGUUUAAUUAUUUUUCUUUGUCAUAAAGAAGUGUUCAUUUUGGAGGAAGAUUAGAAAUUGACUGAUACAAAGACAAAAUACAUCAAUAAAACAUAUUAACAAAAAAAGAUGAUUUAUAGU
This 620-nucleotide long non-coding RNA is filed under the name Monodelphis domestica (gray short-tailed opossum). Its description in RNAcentral is "lncRNA (ENSMODG00000047685.1)". Lineage: Eukaryota; Metazoa; Chordata; Mammalia; Didelphimorphia; Didelphidae. The record is from RNAcentral.